RNAcentral lists this ribosomal RNA (952 nucleotides) under uncultured bacterium. RNAcentral's name for it is "bacterial SSU rRNA". It matches the Rfam family "Bacterial small subunit ribosomal RNA", at positions 48 to 995 of the family's 1533-position model. The record is from RNAcentral.
UUAAGACAUGCAAGUCGAACGGAUCAAAGUUGUAGCAAUACCGCUUUGGUCAGUGGCGCACGGGUGCGUAACACGUGAGUUACAUGCCCUGCAGUGGGGAAUAGCCCGCCGAAAGGCGGAUUAAUACCCCAUGGUCCCGCAAGGGUAAAGGUGGCGCAAGCUGCCGCUGUAGGAUUGGCUCGCGGCCUAUCAGCUAGUUGGUGAGGUAACGGCUCACCAAGGCGACGACGGGUACCUGGUCUGAGAGGAUGAUCAGGCACACUGGAACUGAGACACGGUCCAGACACCUACGGGUGGCAGCAGUCGAGAAUAAUUCACAAUGGGGGAAACCCUGAUGGUGCAACGCCGCGUGGAGGAUGAAGGUCUUCGGAUUGUAAACUCCUGUCAUCGGGGAGUAAGACCUGACGGUAAAUAGCCGGCAGGGUUGAUAGUACCCGAAGAGGAAGGGACGGCUAACUUCGUGCCAGCAGCCGCGGUAAUACGAAGGUCCCAAGCGUUGUUCGGAAUCACUGGGCGUAAAGGGAGCGUAGGCGGCGUGGUAAGUCAGAUGUGAAAUCCCGGGGCUCAACCCCGGAACUGCAUCCGAUACUGCCAUGCUUGAGGGUUGGAGAGGUAGCUGGAAUUCUCGGUGUAGCAGUGAAAUGCGUGGAUAUCGAGAGGAACACUCGUGGCGAAGGCGAGCUACUGGACAACAUCUGACGCUGAGGCUCGAAGGCCAGGGGAGCAAAAGGGAUUAGAUACCCCUGUAGUCCUGGCAGUAAACGGUGUGCGCUUGGUGUGAGGGGAUUCGACCCCCCUUGUGCCGGAGCUAACGCGUUAAGCGCACCGCCUGGGAAGUACGGCCGCAAGGCUAAAACUCAAAGAAAUUGACGGGGACCCGCACAAGCGGUGGAGUAUGUGGCUUAAUUCGAUGCAACGCGAAGAACCUUACCAAGGCUUGACAUGGAUUUCU